RNAcentral lists this ribosomal RNA (468 nucleotides) under uncultured bacterium. RNAcentral's name for it is "partial 16S ribosomal RNA". It matches the Rfam family "Bacterial small subunit ribosomal RNA", at positions 28 to 507 of the family's 1533-position model. The record is from RNAcentral.
GACGAACGCUGGCGGCGUGCUUAACACAUGCAAGUCGAACGGAAAGGCCCUGCUUUUGUGGGGUGCUCGAGUGGCGAACGGGUGAGUAACACGCGAGUAACCUGCCCUUGACUUUGGGAUAACUUCAGGAAACUGGGGCUAAUACCGGAUAGGAGCUCCUGCUGCAUGGUGGGGGUUGGAAAGUUUCGGUGGUUGGGGAUGGACUCGCGGCUUAUCAGCUUGUUGGUGGGGUAGUGGCUUACCAAGGCUUUGACGGGUAGCCGGCCUGAGAGGGUGACCGGCCACAUUGGGACUGAGAUACGGCCCAGACUCCUACGGGAGGCAGCAGUGGGGAAUAUUGCACAAUGGGCGGAAGCCUGAUGCAGCAACGCCGCGUGCGGGAUGACGGCCUUCGGGUUGUAAACCGCUUUCGCCUGUGACGAAGCGUGAGUGACGGUAAUGGGUAAAGAAGCACCGGCUAACUACGUG